AGAGUUGAUCAUGGCUCAGGACGAACGCUGGCGGCACGCUAACACAUGCAAGUCGAACGAACGGAGAUAGCUUGCUAUCAAAGUUAGUGGCGGACGGGUGAGUAACACGUGAGCAAUCUGCCUUUAAGUGGGGAAUAACGAUUGGAAACGGUCGGUAAUACCGCAUAAUAUAGCGAAACCGCAUGAUUUUUGCUAUCAAAGAUUUAUCGCUUAAAGAUGAGCUCGCGUCUGAUUAGCUGGUUGGUGAGGUAACGGCUCACCAAGGCGACGAUCAGUAGCCGGACUGAGAGGUUGAACGGCCACAUUGGGACUGAGGCACGGCCCAGACUCCUACGGGAGGCAGCAGUGGGGAAUAUUGCACAAUGGGCGCAAGCCUGAUGCAGCGAUGCCGCGUGAGGGAAGAAGGUUUUCGGAUUGUAAACCUCUGUUGACAGGGACGAUAAUGACGGUACCUGUUCAGAAAGCUCCGGCUAACUACGUGCCAGCCGCUGC
Molecule: ribosomal RNA, 492 nt
Filed under: uncultured bacterium
Lineage: Bacteria
Description: bacterial SSU rRNA
Rfam family: Bacterial small subunit ribosomal RNA
Source: RNAcentral